ACUUGGUGAUGUGGGCAAUUGCGCAAGAGGUCACUAAAGCGCUCCCAUGUCUCGAAAAACAGUUCCCUAUCCAAUUGUAAGAAACUGGUGAUGGCUUUCCUCAACU
Small nucleolar RNA from Malania oleifera, 106 nucleotides. The record is from RefSeq and is a predicted model, not a curated record. Lineage: Eukaryota; Viridiplantae; Streptophyta; Magnoliopsida; Santalales; Ximeniaceae.